UCUGGGUCAGACCGGGGUGUUUUUGGGUCAGAACCGGUGUUUCUGGGUCCCCUUUGUGUUUUUGGGGUCAGAGCGGGGUGUUUUUGGGGUCAGACCGGGGUGUUUUUGGGCUCCCAUUCGGGGUGUUUCUGGGUCCCAUUCGGGGUGUUUUUGGGCUCCCAUUCGGGGUGUUUCUGGGUCCCAUUCGGGGUGUUUUUGGGCUCCCAUUCGGGGUGUUUCUGGGUCAGAACCGGGUGUUUCUGGGUCCCAUUUGUGUUUUUGGGUCAGACCGGGGUGUUUCUGGGUCAGAACCGGGGUGUUUUUGGGGUCCCAUUUGGGGUGUUUCUGGGUCAGACCGGGGUGUUUUUGGGGUCCCAUUCGGGGUGUUUUUGGGGUCAGAACCGGGGUGUUUUUGGGGUCCCAUUUGGGGUUUUUGGGCUCCCAUUCGGGGUGUUUUUGGGCUCCCAUUCGGGGUGUUUUUGGGGUCCCAUUUGGGGUUUUUGGGGUCCCAUUUGGGGUGUUUCUGGGUCAGAACCGGGUGUUUCUGGGCCCCUCCGUUGCCCGUACGCACCCUGGCCGCCGCGGCCCUCCUGGCAGCGCAGGCGCACCCAGUGGUCCGAGAUGUUGAGGAUGACCAGCGGGUGCAGCGCCACGGCCACGCUGCCCGUCACGCCGCCGGCCAUCACCUGCGCCGGCCCUGCCGCGCCGCCGGGGGUUCGGGAAUCACCGGGAAUUCCAGAGUCACCGGGGGGUUCGGGAAUAACCGGGAAUUCCAGAGUCACCGGGGGGUUCGGGAAUCACCGGGAAUUCC
Molecule: long non-coding RNA, 790 nt
Filed under: Chloebia gouldiae (Gouldian finch)
Lineage: Eukaryota; Metazoa; Chordata; Aves; Passeriformes; Passeridae
Description: Erythrura gouldiae (Gouldian finch) lncRNA (ENSEGOG00005018521.1)
Source: RNAcentral